RNAcentral lists this long non-coding RNA (812 nucleotides) under Homo sapiens (human). RNAcentral describes it as "HSALNT0269056". Lineage: Eukaryota; Metazoa; Chordata; Mammalia; Primates; Hominidae. The record is from RNAcentral.
CCGAGACUGCGCCAUUGCACUCCAGCCUGAGCAACAAGAGCGAAACUCCAUCUCAAAAAUAAAUAAAUAAAUAAAAUAAAAAUCAAAAUCCUGGCCCAGGAUCUGGUCCCUAAGCUAAAGUCCCAUCGUGGGUGCCGGCUAGUGAGAGAAAGGGAGCAUUCGCAGCCUGGCUCACCCCAGCCCCCAGAAAGGCAGAGUCUCUCAAGCACGUGCACAUUUGGAGCUGGGUAAUUCUUUGUGGGGAUUGCUUUGUGCGUUGUCUAUUGUGCAGCAUCUCAGCACCUUCACCCGCUAGAUGACCCAUGGUGAUCCUCCCCACAUUGGGAAAACCAACAUGUCUCCAGACACUGCCAAACCAGGCCUCCACGCCUGGCUAAUUUUUGUAUUUUAGUAGAGACGGGGUUUCAGCAUGUUGACCAGCCUUGGAAUCGGCCACUGCUUUACGGUAACCUGCCCUCUUCUUUCCUCACCUCCGCGUCACAGACGCCUGGUUUCCAGCAACUCUGGUGGAUUUUGCAAUCACCAAUCUGAGGACAUCAGAGGAAAACUGAGACACCACAGGACACCUGAGUUCUCCCGCAAAACCCCUUUCCAGACUGUCACCUCCAUGAAGACCAAGGUUUCUGUUUGCAGUAAUGUGUCCUGACGUAUCUGGCAUACAGUAGGAGCUCAACAAAGAUCAGUGGCGUGAAUGGCACCUCUGAAGAGAAGAGCCCGGAGGGGAAGUUAGAGUGGAGCUGCAGAGAGUGCUUAGGAGGCUACUGCUGUUGUGAUGAUCAACUUGAUUCUUCAGCCUGGAGCCUUGAGCCUCG